Molecule: ribosomal RNA, 792 nt
Filed under: Occidozyga cf. laevis FMNH 230140
Lineage: Eukaryota; Metazoa; Chordata; Amphibia; Anura; Dicroglossidae
Description: partial large subunit ribosomal RNA
Rfam family: Bacterial large subunit ribosomal RNA
Source: RNAcentral
CCCGUCACCAGUAUUGAAUAAAAUCAUAAAUUAUGAAAAUUAUUAUGCUAGAACUAGUAACAAGAAAAUGAAUUUCUCCAAAGCGUAAGCAUAAACCAAUGAUGGACAACCCAUUGGCACAUAACGGCACUGAAUUGACUAUAGUAACAAACCUAGAAAACCCUAUUAACUCAAACCGUUAACCUUACACAAGAACCCUUCUGGAAAGAUUAAGAGGAAGAGAAGGAACUCGGCAAAUGUUAGCCCCGCCUGUUUACCAAAAACAUCGCCUCCUGUUUAAAUAUAAGAGGUCCAGCCUGCCCAGUGUUUUAAUUCAACGGCCGCGUGAUUUAAGCGCGCGAAGGUAGCAUAAUAAUUUGUUCUUUAAAUGUGGACUUGUAUCAAUGGCAUCACGAGGGCUAUACUGUCUCCUCUCCCCAAUCAGUGAAACUAAUCUCCCUGUGAAAAAGCAGGGAUAAGACUAUAAGACGAGAAGACCCCAUGGAGCUUAAAACACUGCAUUAAUACUAAUUACACUGUCAAUAUAAUUUUAUACUAUACAUGCUCGUUUUAGGUUGGGGUGACCGCGGAGUAAAACAAAACCUCCACAACGAAAAGGGAGUUGUACCUUUAUCUAAGAGACACUUUUCUAAGAAUUAUUUAAUAUAACGUCUAAUGACCCGACUAUCGAUCAACGGACCAAGUUACCCUGGGGAUAACAGCGCAAUCCACUUUAAGAGCUCCUAUCGACAGGUGGGCUUACGACCUCGAUGUUGGAUCAGGAUAUCCCAGUGGUGCAGCUGCUACUAAAGG